GACGAACGCUGGCGGCGUGCUUAACACAUGCAAGUCGAACGGAAAGGCCCUGCUUUUGUGGGGUGCUCGAGUGGCGAACGGGUGAGUAACACGUGAGUAACCUGCCCUUGACUUUGGGAUAACUUCAGCGAACUGGGGCUAAUACCGGAUAGGAGCUCCUGCUGCAUGGUGGGGGUUGGAAAGUUUCGGCGGUUGGAGAUGGACUCGCGGCUUAUCAGCUUGUUGGUGGGGUAGUGGCUUACCAAGGCUUUGACGGGUAGCCGGCCUGAGAGGGUGACCGGCCACAUUGGGACUGAGAUACGGCCCAGACUCCUACGGGAGGCAGCAGUGGGGAAUAUUGCACAAUGGGCGGAAGCCUGAUGCAGCAACGCCGCGUGCGGGAUGACGGCCUUCGGGUUGUAAACCGCUUUCGCCUGUGACGAAGCGUGAGUGACGGUAAUGGGUAAAGAAGCACCGGCUAACUACGUG
This 468-nucleotide ribosomal RNA is filed under the name uncultured bacterium. Its description in RNAcentral is "partial 16S ribosomal RNA". It matches the Rfam family "Bacterial small subunit ribosomal RNA", at positions 28 to 507 of the family's 1533-position model. The record is from RNAcentral.